UGUGUAGCUUGUAAUUUUAUUGGAGUCACUUAUAUGAAAUUUCAUUACUGGGAAGAAGCGGAAGAAGCAUUCUCACAGUGUCUUGAGAUAUCUCAAUAUAUCUUCCCAUCUGGACAUGCUCAUAUCAGUAAAGCUGAACGAAAUUUACAUGACGUCUGGCAACAAUUGUAUGGACACUGAUGAUGAAUCAGAUGACUUUGAUUUUCGGCAGCUGGAAAAACCGUACAUUAGUGUAGUGUAACAGUACAGUAUGUGUAAUCCAUUAAAUGUUACUGUUGAAUUUGCGGCGGCGUCAUCGUCAGUUUAAGUGUGUAUUUGGAUAUAGAUGGUAGUUUGUUAUUGAAUUAUGUUAUUUGGAGCUGUCGUAACCUAUUUGGUACAGUUAAUUGCAUAUAUAUGUAGAAGUGUAUUACCUGAAGUGAAUUGUUCAGAUAUUUCUCCUAAUAUAUAAAUGUUCCCUUGAGCAACAAACACAAUCGGUACAUCAGUGCUGCUUUACAUUGUAUGACCUUUCCAAAAAGUCUCUUGAUUGCU
Molecule: long non-coding RNA, 534 nt
Organism: Corticium candelabrum
Lineage: Eukaryota; Metazoa; Porifera; Homoscleromorpha; Homosclerophorida; Plakinidae
Exons: 3
Source: RefSeq, a predicted model, not a curated record